RNAcentral lists this long non-coding RNA (414 nucleotides) under Mus spicilegus (steppe mouse). RNAcentral's name for it is "lncRNA (ENSMSIG00000030658.1)". Lineage: Eukaryota; Metazoa; Chordata; Mammalia; Rodentia; Muridae. The record is from RNAcentral.
UUUAAGAAUAAAUGUAGAUAUAUUAGCAUAGACAAUGACAGCUCCUGGUGGAGUCAGGGAACAACCAAAGGGUCUAUAAGUAUUUACACCAAGAGCUAAGAAUCUGCAGUGACUGAGGUCACAGUGAUUAAAAACUGGUUUUGGCCUGUGGACUUCACUUACAGGCUUCUUUCUGCCCUUCCCCCUGACUCCUCACACAGACACACACAAGACCAUCAGAGGUGGAGAAGAUGACAAGUUCAGCUUUGAAGAGGCUGCUUCCUUUCAAGGAUGGCUAUGCUGGACUGUCCCAAACAAUGAGCAUGGGGAAGCUAUGAGGAAAUCAGUCAGGGUGGUUGUGGCUAAUGGAUGGGAUCAUUUGAGACUACAGAUGAUAAGAGGAGUUCAAAGGCUAUGGGUGGAACUCAGGUAACA